RNAcentral lists this ribosomal RNA (426 nucleotides) under uncultured bacterium. RNAcentral describes it as "bacterial SSU rRNA". It matches the Rfam family "Bacterial small subunit ribosomal RNA", at positions 958 to 1400 of the family's 1533-position model. The record is from RNAcentral.
AACGCGAAGAACCUUACCAGGGUUUGACAUUCCGACGCACCGACUGGAAACGGUCGUGCCCGCAAGGGACGUCGGGACAGAUGCUGCAUGGCUGUCGUCAGCUCGUGCCGUGAGGUGUUGGGUUAAGUCCCGCAACGAGCGCAACCCGCGCGACCAGUUACACUCUCUGGUCGGACUGCCGCGACUAACGCGGAGGAAGGUGCGGAUGACGUCAAGUCAGCACGGCUCUUACAUCCUGGGCGACACACACGCUACAAUGGGCGGUACAACGGGUCGCGAAGCCGCGAGGCGGAGCCAAUCCCACCAAAGCCGUCCCCAGUUCAGAUCGCAGUCUGCAACUCGACUGCGUGAAGGCGGAGUUGCUAGUAACCGCAGGUCAGCACACUGCGGUGAAUACGUUCCCGGGCCUUGUACACACCGUGUCGA